This is a long non-coding RNA of Oryctolagus cuniculus (rabbit), 798 nucleotides long. NCBI's taxonomy places the organism in Eukaryota, Metazoa, Chordata, Mammalia, Lagomorpha, Leporidae. The record is from Ensembl.
UAAGCUCUUUGAACUCUGGAGAAUGUGAGAAAAAUACCUUCCCAAGCAAGGGGACUGGAAACACAGAGAUAAGAAAUGACAAAUGCUCCCUCAAAACUACUCCAGAUUCUCCACACUCUACAAACCUAAAUCAAAUUAAGGAAAACCUCCUCUACAGGCUCAGAUUCAUUCAGCCCAUGACAGUGGCUGGGAAUAUUCAAUAUGGCUGAAUAAGUGGAUGGAUAAAUGAGCAAACACAGGCCCCCAUUUUGUCUUAGCUGCCAGAAUCUCCCCAGGUGUUAGCUGAAGGGUUUGCCUUAAGAUGAACAUUUGAGAAGAGUUUUCUACUGAAAAAUAGGAAGUAAUCCCAAGAACAACACACCUUGAUUUUUCACAGAGUCCCUUUUUCCUUGCCAAGAAUCUCAGAGCACUUUGGAGGGCACCCGAUUUCCAAUGAGUAGUAGCUGGAUAGGAGGCGCUUCCAGAGCCUCUUGGAAUUUCCUGAAGGAAGAUAAAGGCUGCGAAGGGGUCAUCAAAGGCCAGACACACUGUGUAAAGUCUGUAUUCCUGCAUAUUUUGCAGACAGGAAAAAGAAAGAACAAAAACUUCACAGUUGGGAAUAGAAAAUACCUCAUGGAUAUGGGUUUUAUUGCAAGCUCUGCGUCUGAGUUAAAGAUGUUAAUGCUGAAUUCGCCCACCAAGAUCAAAACUCCUACAAAACUCUUCCAGCUGCAGCAUUUAUGGCUCCAGGUUUUGUUUCAGAAAGUGAGGAAUAUGUUCCAGGAUUAUGAUCUUAUUUCUCUUUCUUGCCUGUUGUAA